GACGUAGGGUGCGAGCGUUGUCCGGAUUUAUUGGGCGUAAAGAGCUCGUAGGUGGCUGAGUAAGUCGGAUGUUAAAUCCCCAGGCUCAACCUGGGACACCACCCGAUACUGCUCUAGCUAGAGUCCGGUAGGGGAGCAUGGAAUUCCUGGUGUAGCGGUGAAAUGCGCAGAUAUCAGGAGGAACACCAGCGGCGAAGGCGGUGCUCUGGGCCGGAACUGACACUGAGGAGCGAAAGCGUGGGUAGCAAACAGG
RNAcentral lists this ribosomal RNA (253 nucleotides) under uncultured bacterium. RNAcentral describes it as "partial 16S ribosomal RNA". It matches the Rfam family "Bacterial small subunit ribosomal RNA", at positions 524 to 776 of the family's 1533-position model. The record is from RNAcentral.